UACAGAGGUGGCGAGCGUUAUUCGGAAUUAUUGGGCGUAAAGGGCGCGUAGGCGGCCACGCAAGUCUUGGGUGAAAUCCCUCGGCUCAACCGAGGAACUGCCUUGGAAACUGCAUGGCUCGAGGCCGGGAGAGGGUAGCGGAAUUCCCAGUGUAGCGGUGAAAUGCGUAGAUAUUGGGAGGAACACCGGUGGCGAAGGCGGCUACCUGGACCGGUUCUGACGCUGAUGCGUGAAAGCGUGGGGAGCAAACAGG
RNAcentral lists this ribosomal RNA (253 nucleotides) under uncultured bacterium. RNAcentral describes it as "partial 16S ribosomal RNA". It matches the Rfam family "Bacterial small subunit ribosomal RNA", at positions 524 to 776 of the family's 1533-position model. The record is from RNAcentral.